RNAcentral lists this ribosomal RNA (466 nucleotides) under Priestia flexa. Its description in RNAcentral is "bacterial SSU rRNA". It matches the Rfam family "Bacterial small subunit ribosomal RNA", at positions 336 to 799 of the family's 1533-position model. The record is from RNAcentral. Lineage: Bacteria; Bacillati; Bacillota; Bacilli; Caryophanales; Bacillaceae.
UUCCUACGGGGUGCAGCAGUAGGGAAUCCCGCCAAAUGGACGAAAGUCUGACGGAGCAACGCCGCGUGAGUGAUGAAGGCUUUCGGGUCGUAAAACUCUGUUGUUAGGGAAGAACAAGUACAAGAGUAACUGCUUGUACCUUGACGGUACCUAACCAGAAAGCCACGGCUAACUACGUGCCAGCAGCCGCGGUAAUACGUAGGUGGCAAGCGUUAUCCGGAAUUAUUGGGCGUAAAGCGCGCGCAGGCGGUUUCUUAAGUCUGAUGUGAAAGCCCACGGCUCAACCGUGGAGGGUCAUUGGAAACUGGGGAACUUGAGUGCAGAAGAGAAAAGCGGAAUUCCACGUGUAGCGGUGAAAUGCGUAGAGAUGUGGAGGAACACCAGUGGCGAAGGCGGCUUUUUGGUCUGUAACUGACGCUAGGCGCGAAAGCGUGAGCAAACAGGAUUAGAUACCCCGUAGUCAGAA